Molecule: ribosomal RNA, 446 nt
Filed under: Paraphronima sp. B VIS-2020
Lineage: Eukaryota; Metazoa; Arthropoda; Malacostraca; Amphipoda; Paraphronimidae
Description: partial large subunit ribosomal RNA
Source: RNAcentral
UCGCCUGUUUAUCAAAAACAUCUCUAAAUUUUAGUAAAACCUGCUCAAUGAGUAAUUUAAUAGCCGCUGUAUCACUGACAGUGCAAAGGUAGCAUAAUAAUUUGCUUUUUAAUUGAAAGAUAGAAUGAAAGGAUAAAUUCUAGUAUUUAUGUUUAAUUUCACAAUUUAAAAUAGAAUUUAAGUUAAAAUCCUUAAAAAAAAUUAAAGAAAGAAAAGACCCUAAAAUUUAAAUAAAUUGUCUGGGGAAGAUAAUAAAUAAAAAUUAUUAUCUCUUAAAAUUAAGAGAUAAAAAAAAUACUUUAGGGUUAACAGCUAUUUAAACAAGAGAUCAUAUCUAAUAUAUAUAAUAGACCUCGAUGUUGAAUUAAAAUAACUAUAUCUAGAAUAAAAGAUAUAAGUAAGUUUGUUCAACUUAAAAAUUUUACGUGAUCUGAGUUCAGACCGGA